This 256-nucleotide ribosomal RNA is filed under the name uncultured bacterium. Its description in RNAcentral is "partial 16S ribosomal RNA". It matches the Rfam family "Bacterial small subunit ribosomal RNA", at positions 524 to 776 of the family's 1533-position model. The record is from RNAcentral.
UACGUAGGAGACGAGCGUUGUCCGGAGUUACUGGGCGUAAAGGGUGCGCAGGUGGCCGCGCACGUGGGGAGUGAAAUCGCCUGGCUUAACUGGGCGGGGGCUUUCCAGACGGCGUGGCUUGAGCAGCGGAGGGGGGCGUGGAAUUCCGGGUGGAGCGGUGAAAUGCGUAGAGAUCCGGAGGAACACCGACGGCGUAGGCAGCGCCCUGGCCGCUUUAAGCUGACACUGAGGCACGAAAGCUGGGGGAGCAAACAGG